UACGUAGGGGGCGAGCGUUGUCCGAAGUUACUGGGCGUAAAGCGCGCGUAGGCGGUCUAUUAAGUCUGAGGUGAAAGGUUCAGCGCUCGACGCGAACAGUGCCUUGGAUACUGGUAGACUUGAGUGUGGCAGAGGAGUAUGGAAUUCCUGGUGUAGCGGUGAAAUGCGUAGAUAUCAGGGGGAAUACCGAUGGCGAAGGCAGUACUCUGGGCUAACACUGACGCUGAGGUGCGAAAGCGUGGGGAGCAAACGGG
Molecule: ribosomal RNA, 254 nt
Filed under: uncultured bacterium
Lineage: Bacteria
Description: partial 16S ribosomal RNA
Rfam family: Bacterial small subunit ribosomal RNA
Source: RNAcentral